Molecule: long non-coding RNA, 8652 nt
Organism: Leopardus geoffroyi (Geoffroy's cat)
Lineage: Eukaryota; Metazoa; Chordata; Mammalia; Carnivora; Felidae
Exons: 7
Source: RefSeq, a predicted model, not a curated record
UUGGGCUUUCCUUCCUGCCAGGACAUUUCCAGGAAAUGCACCACUGUUUCUUGCUUGUGUUAGAAACGUGUGAAAGAAUUAGUCUGAAAAGUCUUUGCAACGUCUAGUUUCUCCCUCUCCUUUUCUUCUCUCUCUCUUCGUCUCUCUCCCUCCCCUUCCCUCCUCCCUCCCACUCCCCCUCCCUCCCCUCGCAGAGCCGCAGGAAAAGAAGAAUGUCGGCUUCGACUGCCAUCUUUUGGGGAUUUGGAAAAACGACUCGCUUGGGCCAAGACCUUGCACGAAUAGGCUGAGGCUUCAGGCAAUAGGAGCAUUGCGGACUGAGUCGUGUCCUCCCAUAUCCGCACAUGAAGUUGACAAGAGACUCUCCAUGGCAUCAAGCUGUAUGUUUCUGUUCUGGGUUCAAAAGCGGGGCCCUGUCCUGCUUACUCUACCUGCUUACUCUGCCUGUAACUCUGCCUAUGUCUUCUCCCUGAGAAAACAAGUUCAGCCCAAACUUCCGUGUAAAGCUCAGAUGGAAUUCCUAAAAAACUGAGAAGAAACUGGAGGUCCAGCUUGCAUAGCAAUGUAGCCAGACCUCAGCCUCAUCACAUUAUGGAUUGCAUUCUUACCCAAAUACUCUUCGUGAUUGCCUGCUUUGCGGCUUUGGGGUAAGUCCCAGUUUUCCACAACCUUAAGGAAAAAAAAAAUGCAUAACAUAAAAGAUGCCAAAAAGACUUAUGUGUCCUGAUGUGCGGGUUUUGUGAAAUAUACAUGGGUUUGUUUUUUUUUUUGGGGGGGGGGUGGCGGGAACGAUGUUGGUAAUGAAAUAAAGAGAAGGGGUUUGUUUCUGCAAGGAUCAAGAGUGUGUGAAAGUGUGCAUUGCAAACGAGGCUCCCAUCAAGAAAGCCACCUCUGGAAUGGAAAUGACAAAGCUUGGAACACACACAAUCAAUUAUUUUCACUAGCAUUUAAAAUAUAGAAAACAAAAUCUGCUUUGGGAAUUGACUGAAUAUUUUAUUUAGCUUUUUUAUUGAGACAUCCUUUGAAAAAUGGCAUAAUAUAAAUAGUUUUACAAAGCAACAAUAUAAUCAAUCUCUAAACUAGAAUAUAAAUCAAGGAUUUCAUUAACUGCUAGUAGCCAGUUUAAAUUGUAGUCUUGUCCAUAAUGUCUAUCUAUCUAUGUAUGUCCAAGUUAUAUUAAAAACCUUUAAAUGGCUUUGUAAUAUCAGCUACAUCUAGCUAUUAUAAUAAUUAAUGGUACUGUUUUAUAAAUCAAUACAUGUAUUCUUGAUAAAUUCAUAUCCAGUUAAUGGUGUAAUUUAAAUAAAAAAUUAAUGUAAUAAAGGACAUACAGAAACAGGCAGGAAAUCUUUAAAGGUUAAGAGACAGAUUUGUCUAAAUUCAUUUUUAAGCCGUUUUGAAAAAGUUUAUACUUAAAAUCAGCUGAGAUUUACCUUGUUUCUGUAAAACUAAUUUUGCUGUGUCUGUUGGUAUCCAGUAAUGAAUCUGUGAAUUAUUUUCUUUUUUAACUGUUAAGUUUUAAUUACAUACUUAUGAUACUAUGAGAUAUGUUACUACCGUUAUACUCUUUUGCAAUUAUUGAAUAUUCUUUAAAAAAAUAGAACAAAACUAAAAAUCUCAAGCCAGUAAUUUAUUUUUAAUACAUGAAUGAAAUGUAAAUGCUCUCUCUCUAUUUUUUAUAUCUAUAAGCGAACGGUUCUGAGAAUCUCCAAAGCUAUAUACAAAUUUUAUUUAAGGUGAAAAAGGACUGAUUAGCUCAAUAAAUUUGCACGCGCAAAAGCGCAGCGUUUUUACUGCUUUCACUGAAUGAACAUCCUAGGAAUUUGAGAAAGAAAAGAAAAAUGCUUUGAAGAGUCUGAAAUGUAUUUUAACGCUGCACACGGGUGGAGAAACAUGUUACAAAGAGAAGAGUGUAUUAUUGUUCUGAUUUAAAAAAUACAUACCAAAGGCAUCUUAAGGAAUAACAGGAUCUAGAAAAACAACUGGAUGUUGUAUGUUAUCAAAUACAAUCUAAAAUCUUUCCAAAUAAAAUUUCAUUUGGUUUAUAGAGUAAGCAUUUUACACAAGAUAUCUUUCAGAAUUAUGCAGACCAGUCUGCCCUGCCAUUCUCCGUGACAUGGUGCAGAAAUGUUACUUUAAUCCACUGAGCUUUUUCUGACAUUUUUCUUAACAUUGCUGAGCCUUAUUUAGAGCAGCAAAGGAGACGUGUGCAGUUUCCUUUGACACUGAUGGGUGUUUCAAAAUGUUACGAGAGAGAGAGAGAGAGAGAGAGAGAGAAAGACAGAGACAGAGACAGAGUCGGAGAGAGAGCGCGAGAGAGAAAAGAUUUGCUGCCAGUCACUUUAUCAAUAGAGCUACAGGAGCAAUUACUAUUUGUUAAAAGUUUACAUUUCAAAUGAAGCUAAAUUUUAAAGAAGGCUCAUCCUUUUAAAAGCCUGCUGCUUGGAAGAGGGGGGAAGAGAAUGCACGGUAGUGAUCACAUGUUAAAGUGCGCUCAAGUACUGGAACCAUUUAAAAUGUAUUGUGUUUUUAGACGAAGCCUACAGCAAAACCACUCCUAAGAGGCUUAAUUUAGGUUUUAUAGGAGGAACAUAAAAAAGACCAGGUUACAGCAACACGCUGAAAUAUGGGGUACAUUUUAAAUAUCUUCAUUUAGAAACGUAUGUUUAUUUUCCCUCCUGGGAUCACUAACAUGUGUCUCGACAGAGAAAGCAAGGACAUGCUACAUUCUUAAAAAUUAUCUGUUAAAGGGAUCACAUUCCAAGACAGGUUUGAGCAUUUUUAUUACUACCGAUAACCUCUUAAUUAUGUCACUGCCUUCCACUUGUUAAUCAGGGACAUUCAACAUGGUUAACCAGUGAGCUGUUGCCUUUCGUCGACUUCAUUAUUAUUAGGAAUUAAAAACUCAUUCUAUUCCCAUCAUCAUGUUUUUGCAUCUAUGAUUUUAGCACUGCUAGAAACUUACCUGCUUUAAAUACAGAACACCUAAGAAAAGGUCUAGAUGCCCAUAACAAUGUUGUUAAUUACUUCUAGGUGCAGCUCAUGGAAAGCUUUAAGAGAUGGAUAAUUUUACUUUUCCUGUCUUGCCCCCCUCCCCCAGCCCCGCUGCCUCUCCCACAUCUCCCACAAUUCCUAUUUGAACCAAUUUUAGGUUCCUUGUGCAGCCACCAGCGUCUGAGAUACUCAGAGACUUUUUUCAGAGAGCACGGUGUAAGUGGAGUAAAUAAAAUCAUGUUUCACUGUUGCUUUAUCAACCCUCCUAGGUAGUUUUCCUGCCAGCCAACCUGCACUGUUAAGACCCAGAAAAUUAUGCAAUAGUGACUUCUUUGAGGUUCUCUAAUCAGAUGAUGGCCAGUGUUAGGAGGGGAAGGGCCCAAGGCAAUGUUGCUGGCACUUAAUGCUGGGUUUGGUCAUUACUUGUCUGGUAGAGACCAAUAAACAGAUGAUUACUAUCCUAUAAGGAGCCAAUAUUUUACAUUUAUCCUAGUUAUAUCUUUUCUUUUCAACGUCUUAUAACAGAAAGUAUUUGUCAAGAUCUAUGAGGAAUAACCUCACAGGCCCCUUAAAAAUAAGAAUUUUCCUAGCGUGAAAUGAUGCUUUUUGUGCAAUGGUGAGAAUGAUUUUGGUUUUUAUAAGAGCAAAGGUUUGAUUACUUUAAAGUAGUUCUCUUUCAGAUGUGGACAGUCCCAGACCCCGUCCCCCACUCCCAUGUCCCCCUCUCUCCUCUAUGACAGGUUCACAGGCUGCAACCAAGGGGUUUUAAAAUGCAAAUAUUUAUAUUGGAGCUCUGGCAAUAACAGAGUCGUUUUGCUUCCUCUGUUAGCCUGUGAUAAUUGAUGCUUCGUACCUGGAACUACGUUUCAUUUAUCUCUUUACACAUGAAGAUAUUACAUAAAUAAAAGAUAAUUUAUGGAAAGGAAACAGCCAUUUGAAAUAAUAAUCCUAAAUUUGACUGUAUAAUCUUGAAAGGCUUUAAGAGUCAAAGAUGCAGAUUUCUACAGUUUUAAAGAAAACUUGAUCGCACCUGGGAAAUUUGUGCGUUUUUGCACACUUCCUGAAUUUGAAUGCCUGCGUGGAUCAAAAACAAAAAAGAGGGAUAAAAGGAAGGCAGGAGAGAAAAGGUGUGGAUUUCACAUGUGCUUUAAACUAAUGCAUUCGCCCACACGUCCACAGACUUCUUGUUACAAUUUUAUUGACUUUUUCUUUAUAUCCAAAAAUAAUUUCUAAAUAGCUAAUGCAAAUUGCAAAAUAGUGAGUCUUCUGAAGGGCCUUUUCUUCCCGGGGAUCCUCAUCUUAGAAUGAACAGAGGUAUUCCCAGAACCGGACCCUGAUCUCACAACCUCAUACAAAGCCAGGCAAUUCUUGAGCCAAACAAACAAAGGGUGUGGAAGCGAUUUCAUCUAUUUUGAUAAUCCUCCUCUUGCACAGGAGCAUCUUGCUGUCUUUGUCAAAGUGAAUGACAACAAUUUGGCUAACUCUCUCUGAGCUGCGCUCAACAGUGACAGGCAAAUUAUCAGAGGCCCUGCACUUCUUAUUAUCAGAGGAGAAGCCAUCAGGGGGACGCAUGGAGGACACCUCUCCCUUGUCACUAUUUGUCAGUGGGACAAGGGCCACUGCUAUGGGUAGCUGACAGGUAAUUUCAACAAUAACAAUUACUCCUAUUACUGGUGUCAUAAACAAUUCGCCCAAGGCAUGACAAUAGCAAAGCUUUAUAAUUCAAUGCCAUAUAAAUAAAUGCCAGCAGGUAACAAGUAAUUUAGCUCCAAUCAAGCUUUCACCCCGGCAUUAAUAUUGUUAUUGCAAGAAAAUAGAAAAUUGAAAAAACUCGAUAUGUUAAUGAAUUAAGAGAGGUUCAAGGGCUAGACAGAGGGGUUGAAAAAGGGAAACCAAAAUUAUUAUGGGAUCAUAUUUGGUGCCAUCCUGAGGGCCAAAGAGCAGCAUCAUUACUAUUAGAUAAGAAGGGGGACCAGAAAUGCUGUUGCCCUCCACUUCAGACCUGGGAAAAAUGUGACAUGGCCUUUCAAAAUCCCCUUUCUCUGAUUUCUGAAGACUGUAAGUAGAAAUAUGAGAACGUGUCUAUAAUGCAGCAUUUCACUGGUUUUUUUUCUUCCCACCUGAAAUAUUUCAUAUGCAGCAGAGGCAUGAGUAUCAAAGGAACAUUUCCGCCUGUUGAAGAAAAUUGCAUCAGCACCUACUUCCUUUACAUUAAGUCUUGUAACAGAAACUGUUUUAACAAGCCUAUUUUUAUCUUUGGUGAAGGUAAUGCCGAAAACCCCUCUUUACUCUCCAGCUGUCCACCUUUUGGAAGUAGACUAGAGGACACGGUCCAAUCUUCCUCCAUAAAACUUCCCGAUGAAACGAAUGUGCAAUUUCAGUAUUUGUCCAGCAAGACAAUGUGCCAUCAUGGUGACAGCAGUAAAAGAAUUUGAAAAUCUCUAAUUAGGAGAGCUGCGGAGCAAUUAACGCAUGUCAAAUUUUACUUCAUCAAGUGCCACUCUAAUUUUCCUCUAAAAAUUAAUGGAUUUUUUUUUCUUUUGGUAUGUGUGUGUGUCCCCUUAAGGCAAUGUUGAUUCAAAUCUGCUCAAGAUGCAGUGUUGCACAGCUAAGCAUCUUCUUGAUUACAAUCCGCCACCCUUCUAACUGCGCUCAUUCUCACUGCCACGGAUACUUUGUCAACAGUCAAAUUACACCACGCUGAUAACAAUGCAUAAUGGUGUUCCUCCUCUGAGGCCCCUGGCAGGAGAUGGGGUUCAUAAAAAUGUGAUGUUUUCUUCUCAACUGUUUCUGAAGGAAGUUUGUAUGACCAGGUCAUAGUCAGGCGUUAAUUUUUUGAAAUUAAUUUGUUAAUUUCAAGAAAGGGAAGAUAAUGAUAGACUAUGAAAAUACCUCACUGAAAAAAAAUCAGAGGAAGAAUGAGGAAUUGAGAGUAUCUGUGGCCAAAGUUUUGCUUAAACACUUUGUUCGGAGACAUUUUCAAGAGCACUACUCUUGGUAAAAUACCAGAGUUUUUUUUUUUUUUUCUUUACUUAUGAGCUAUAAACAUUGGAAGCCUCUCUUGAACAGACAGUAUUUAGAUUGUGAGAGAAGUUUGUUUAACUGCCAUAUUUGCCAGAAUCUUCAAAACAUCACAGGACACAGAAGAUAAAUGACUUUUUUUUUUCUUUUUUUUUAGGGUCAGGACUGUAUCUUCCAGAUAAAUGUUGAUUCAUUUUAACUAUUUUUUAUCCUACUUGCUUGUUGCCGGUUCGUGUGCUUGUCAUCAGCACAUAUGAGGAUUAUUUCUCACUGGAAAAUGAGAGAAACAGCAAUUAGAUGAUUUUACAUUCGGUGUAAAAUCAUUUAGAGAUCAGUCAGAUUUCAUAUUUCUAAAACAAUCAGAUCCCAAACAAAAAUGGGGAAAUUAAACAAAAUGCUAAAUGAAUCUCUUUGCAGAUUCUUUCAGGGAAUGGAGACCAUUCACAUGGAUUGACGUGCCAAUUUUCUCAUCAUGUAAGUAUAUUUUUGAUCGGUUUCUUUAAUCAGAUUUAUUUAGUAAAAAAAAGAAAAUCUAAAUUCAUGGUGUAUACGCUUCCUUUUUUCUUUUAAUUCACAGGUUGAAUGUGGUCUUUUCAUUUACCUACAACUAACUCAAAAAUCUUACAUUUGAUAUUUUGAGGUUUGUAUUUGCAAAUAUUAAAAAACUCUUCCCUUCCUUAUGGCCCCUCCCCAGCAUGUUCUGAAGUGGUCUCUUUCAGACAAAAGAGAGUGACAUCCCCCUUUCAACUAGCAAAUGUUGGAUUCCCUAAACCAACUGGGGGUAAACUGGAAGUUUUGCAAUUAGAUUCACACAAGCUGAAUAUGUUCAUUAUCCCCAAACAUUCUCCUUCGAACUUUACAAAUGUAACACUACUGAGUUUAGAGUUUCCUGUGGCUUGUUUACAAAUAAAGGUAUCUUGAUAAAAACCAAGCCCUGUGUAUUUCUGAAAAACAAAAAAACCAUGCAACAAUCUCAUAUGAAAACACUACAAAAGGAUUGUGAAGGGAAAUUUAAAAGGAGAAAACUUGAUUAUAUAAUGCAAUCCAGCAGUAAUCAAUUUUACCUUCAAUAUCUUGCUUUUGUUUUCAAAAUGCUAAAUAAACAAUACAUAAUGCAUCCCUCAUCAGCCAAACCAUGGAGGCUCUGUGCUCAAAUAACAGGAAACAUAUUCAAUUUUCCUAACAGAAGACAGUUCAUUAAGCUGUGCCACAUCAAAUAAAACUUUAAUUUCUCCAGCAUCAGAGUCGCAAUGAAAGCAAUUGAAGAAGAUGAGCCAUAUGGUACUUCUAUCAGCAAACACAUAUUGCUCAUUCCCCCAAAGUUUUCUAAUUCUGCUCCCCAGACCUGUGUAAUAUAGAUAAUGUGCUCCGAGAGCAGCAACCAUGAGCUAUCCAGUGUAUGCUUCUAAUACUGUAUUUAAUGGGAAAUAAUGAAUCAUAAAAGCCUGGAGAAGACGGCUUUUGCUAACCUAAAUCUCAGCUGUAAUUUCAUUGUUCUGUGCCUAAGAUGCUGUUCGCCCUUUCCAAACAACAGCAGUUGAACAUAAUUAUGCUGCUUCAAACCUGGGCUUGGAAAAGCAUCCCUAAUAUAACCAAGUUUCUAUUAACUCCUGAAAUCCUGAAUUUAAUGAUGCACUGAUGCAGACAUUGAUAGAACCGAGCAUGUGUCAUUUUAAAACCCAAAUAAGCAUUUUUCUCCUUCUUCUUUUGGUCAGACUGCUCAAUGCAUUUAUGUUCCCUCCUCCACCCCCUUCUCCACCCCCCCACCCCCAUGCAACAGGAGUGGCAUGAUUAAAAAUGAGGAGAUUUUCUUGUUAUUAGCAAAUUUGACAUUUGCCUGAUGAAAUGCACAUAAAAUGUGAAAGCUACACAGUACUCAGAAGAAAUGUCUCUACUCCAGUGCAAGCAACCGAGAUGAAAUAAUUUAGGCAAAGGAAAUGUAAAGACCCUCGUACAUCUCUACCGCAGAAUGCUAGGAUUGUAUUAUAAAUGAAAGAACCAAAUCUUGCCGAGCUUUUAGGGCAAUAGUGUUUUGACACAUGUGAAGUGUAUAGAUAGUGUUUCUUCUCUCACCUUCACCGCUUUGAUUAUUAACCUAAACGUAAUACGUAUGCUCGAACGCAGCAAUUUCCUUCCGUGUCAUGGUCCAGCCUCUCUCUGGCAAGAUCCUGGGGCUGGGGCUUAAUUCCUCUUUAGAGGAAAAAUGUUCCUUUUUCCCCCAAAUAGGUCGAUGAUUUUAGCUCUUCCAUUUUUAAAGCUCAUCAAAUCAAUAUUUUACCAACACAAUGCUAAUUUAAAACACUAUCAAAUAACACUGCGGAUACAUAUUGAAAACAUAUUUUAAUGGUUUUGUUUGUUUUGGCAUCGUAUGAACCAAGGACGAUUAAAUUAAAAAGAGACUUUUAAAAGUUAGAGAUUGCCUUUUGAAAGCUUAUUAAAAUCAGCAUGUUCCAUGCCUGUCUCUGAAUUAGCUCUACACACUUGAUUGCCAUCAUUAAAACGAGUUGUUUGGGUGCUGCUCCGUGAUGGUUCAAACCCUUCCUCAAAGCCGAUUCUUACUAGUUAUUAACUUGAAAUCUCUUUCCAUUGAAAUAAAAAAAAAAAAAAGUCAUUCUAGCCAGUGGAGGGAACAGUCAC